CAAUAGCGUAUAUUUAAGUUGUUGCAGUUAAAUAGCUCGUAGUUGGAUUUCGGUUAAGAGCGACCGGUCCGCCGUUUGGUGUGCACUGGUUGGUUUUAACUUCCUGUAGAGGACGUGCUCUGGGUUUAACGACCUGGACUCGGAGUCUACGUGGUUACUUUGAAAAAAUUAGAGUGUUCAAAGCGGGCUUACGCUUGAAUAUUUCAGCAUGGAAUAACACUAUAGGACUCCUGUCCUAUUUCGUUGGUCUCGGGACGGGAGUAAUGAUUAAGAGGAACAGUUGGGGGCAUUCGUAUUUCAUUGUCAGAGGUGAAAUUCUUGGAUUUAUGAAAGACGAACUUCUGCGAAAGCAUUUGCCAAGGAUGUUUUCAUUAA
RNAcentral lists this ribosomal RNA (375 nucleotides) under uncultured eukaryote. RNAcentral describes it as "partial 18S ribosomal RNA". It matches the Rfam family "Eukaryotic small subunit ribosomal RNA", at positions 592 to 976 of the family's 1831-position model. The record is from RNAcentral.